This 253-nucleotide ribosomal RNA is filed under the name uncultured bacterium. RNAcentral describes it as "partial 16S ribosomal RNA". It matches the Rfam family "Bacterial small subunit ribosomal RNA", at positions 524 to 776 of the family's 1533-position model. The record is from RNAcentral.
UACAGAGGUGGCAAGCGUUGUUCGGAAUUACUGGGCGUAAAGGGCGCGUAGGCGGCCUUCUAAGUCAGACGUGAAAUCCCCCGGCUUAACCUGGGAACUGCGUCUGAUACUGGGAGGCUAGAGUAUGGGAGAGGGAUGUAGAAUUCCAGGUGUAGCGGUGAAAUGCGUAGAUAUCGGGAGGAACACCAGUGGCGAAGGCGGUUCUCUGGGACGGUACUGACGCUGAGACGCGAAAGCGUGGGGAGCGAACAGG